Molecule: long non-coding RNA, 12046 nt
Filed under: Gossypium barbadense (sea-island cotton)
Lineage: Eukaryota; Viridiplantae; Streptophyta; Magnoliopsida; Malvales; Malvaceae
Description: long non-coding RNA (GBAR_LNC013876)
Source: RNAcentral
AAAUCCUUGUUAACACAUUCGAUGCUUUGGAACACGAAACAUUAAACGCCAUUGAAAAUUUCAACAUGGUCGGCAUCGGACCUUUAAUCCCAUCUUCUUUCUUGAACUCAAAUGACUCCUUGGAUAAUUCCUUGAGAACCGAUCUUUUUCAAUCCGAUUCAAAAGAUUACUUCCAAUGGUUAGACUCCAAACCAAAAUCGGCUGUCGUUUACGUUUCCUUCGGGAGCAUUGCGGUGUUAACGAAGCAACAAGUGGAGGAAAUCGCUCGAGCUUUAAUAUCCAGCCGGCAACCGUUUUUAUGGGUGGUGAGGAACCGGAAAGAUGGAGGCGAAGAAGAAGAUAAACUGACUUGCAGGGAAGAAUUGGAACAGUUUGGGAGGGUGGUUCCAUGGUGUUCGCAAGUGGAAGUAUUGUCUCAUCCGUCGUUGGGUUGCUUCGUGACGCAUUGUGGGUGGAACUCGACGUUGGAGAGCAUGGUGGCCGGUGUACCGGUGGUGGCUUUCCCUCAAUGGACGGAUCAAUGGACUAAUGCGAAGCUGAUUGAAGAUGUGUGGGGGAAUGGGGUGAGAGUGAGUGCUAAUGAAGAAGGGAUGGUGGAAUGUGAUGAGAUCGUUAGGUGCUUGGAUUUGGUGAUGGGGGAUGAUGAGAAAGGGAUGGAAGUGAAGAAAAAUGUAGAGAAAUGGAAAGGGUUAGCCAGGGAAGCCUCCAUGGAAGGCGGCUCCAUGGAUAUGAAGCUUAAAGCUUUUGUGGAUGAUGUUGCUGAAGCUGGUUGCAAGUAAAUUUAUCAUUUUCAAAUAAAUUCACUGUUAUAAUAGCAGCUAUAAAUAUUGUAACUUCUUUAAUUUCUAAGUUUAUUUCUUUUUCCUUUCCAUCAUCUUUUGUAAAAAAAAAAAAAGUAAGAUUGAAAAGCCGAAACAAAAACUCCUCUUUUUAAGGACCCAAGAGGAGCUGGUCUGUUUAGUCUUUGAGCCCCACCUGUCAAUCUCAAUCUCAAUCAAUGCCACUCACUCGUUUCAUGUCCUAUCCUCGUCUUCCCUUCAUUAAUAUCACUCCACCUUCUAACUUAAUAACUGAUACAUGAUCUCAAAAAAAAAAAGAAAAAAAAAAAACCCAAAGUUUGAAUUCGGUCUAUGAGCUUCCUAAACAAAAUCAGGAUAUGUGAUUAAGCAUGGAUGCUUCCGUUAUCAUAUGGAUUAAGGGUGCCAGUCGGGCUUAUUACGCCCCUCAUCCAACUUUCACCAUUCGAUAUAUGAUUAUAACCUAACCAACAACAGUCAAAUGUGUUGUUGUCGUACCUCUAUCCCUUCAAAAAUCUCUUUACUGUUGCUACCCAUGUCUUCUUUGAUAUAUAUGCAUAUUUUUAACCUUACUGAGCUGUGGACUUCAUUUGAAGUGUAACCAAGUUUUUGCUUUUUUUUCUUUCUUCUUCUUGUGUUUCCUGAAUUUAUAAAUUUUUUUCGAUUGGCUUCUAUUUAUGUUUUUUCAAAGAUUAAUAAUUGAAUUUAAUUAAAAAAUAAUUAAAUUGGUAAAAUAUAUAAAUGUUGAGGACAAACUUCAGUAUUAUCCCUUUUAAUACCUUUCAUCGUACUGGAGCAGGUAUUAUCGUACCAUGAAACUUGAAUAAGCCACCACACAAGUUUAUGCGCAUGUGGUUUUUUCUGGUUGUAUUCUGCUACUAGUCCUUAUACUUUAUGAAAGUGAUGGAUUUAGUCCCAAUACUUCAAUUUAAUCACUUUUAGUCCUGCACUUUUCAAAAUGUUCAAUUUUAGUCCCUAUAUUUUCAGUCUUUUGAAAUUUUCGUCCUAAACCAAAUAAUAGUAGUUCAAUUUGUUUGUUUAAAUUCAAUUACUAGCAUGUAAUUGUAGAUUUAAUAUAUAUUAUCCAUUUUCUUUGCAAAGUCUGUGAAAAACAAAACGGAUUGUUGAGAACAAUCCAAACACUAUCAAACACAGUUUAAAAAAAAAAAAAACAGAACAGCCUAACAUAUACUACUAAGCAGACAAAAACACUUUAACAACAGAUUUCCCCGUUGUAUUCUGCUGCAGAAAAUAGCAGACCAUCCCAGCAGCAUCAUCCAUUCUGCUUCAGCAGCAAAUCACCAAGCAGCUUUAAAGAAGUUUUUCCUUGACAUGCCUGUCUUUGCUAAAGUUUCCGCCAUUCCACUCUUUUUUUGAUUAGUGAUUGCAAACUGGAUUUCGGCAAUAUGUCUACAUCCAUCUUCAAUUUCCGCAAACAACUUCCUUAGCGACCAUGGACGAAGAUUUCUAUAUUUCAACUAAUUCAAUACCGUAUUCAAAUCAAGCUCUAUAAUCAAAGGAAGUUGCACCUUAUGAAACAAAUUUGAAAACAUCUCUAUUGCUACUUUUAUAGCCAUCAGUACUACCAUUUCCAAACCCUCCACUGCACAGUUACCUGAAAAAGAGCUGAAACAACCCCUUUCUCGUCCCGCAACACCCCUCCGCAGCCCGCUCUUUCAUCCAAAGAAACCCCAGCCACAUUAAAUUUCAUCCAACCGCAAGGAGGUGGUUCCCUAUCCAUAACCCGCACAUUCCCCACCCUAUUUAACCAGACUGCUCUUCCUUGGCCACCCCCACCAAUCACUCUCUGUGAAAAUACAUUCCUCAUAGACCACUCUUGCCCAUACAAACGAUCUCAAUUUUGUUUGAUAAAUUAAGUCAAGUGUUGUAGCCUUACCUUCAAACACUUUCUCAUUACGAGAAAUCCAUCCUGACCAACAUGCUGCUGAUACUGCCAGUAACCAUAAACUUUUUUGAAUGCCAGACAAAGACACUCUCCAGCAAAAGGAAAAGAAUUCCUCAAAGUUUGCUACGUCCUUCCAUCUCAACCCCCACCAGCAAAAUAUAAGCGACCAGAAUCUUUUCACAAAGGAGCAUUCAAAAAACAAGUGAUUGGUAGAUUCCGCCACUCUCUCGCACCAUGGACACCCACUAUCCGAAGAGUUGAUAAUAAUUCCUCUACUAAUAAAAAAUUCUUUCGUUGGAACACGAUUAAUCGCCAUCAUCUAUAGGAAGCUACGCUUUCUUGGUGGGACUUUCAAUUUCCAGAUUCUAUCAAACUGAAAUUCUACCGUUCCCAUCCCAUCAUAAGAUAGGAGAGACACAUUCACGACAUUAGUUGCACGCCCAGCUACAAACGAACCUGGCUCGGAUACCAAAAAUGUAGGGAAAAAAUAGUCACAGAAGACUAUUGUCAAACAACGUGUAUGCAAGGAAAAUACUAAACUAUAGAAAAUUUAAAAAGAAAGAAAAGCUGAACUCAAAAUGACUGAAGUUGCUGUAUUAUUCACACACAAAAUGAAAUAAACGUAGGCCUAUAAAUAGCCUUUACACCAUAACAAACUAACGUAAAAAUGUGCAACACUAUUGCACGAUCAUAACAAAAAAUAGAGAAAUAAGGAAAUUAACAAACUAAGCAUAGCACAGCAAAUCUAAAUUUAGAAAAACCGACUUUGAAUCAUUCUCCAACAUCGAAAAUGGUGGAGGGCUGAAUCCAGAGUAAAGUUGACGGGAUGUGAUGUUUACGCGCCACCUCCGUAGCCCAAUGAAGGAGCAAAUAGUAGACAAUGCAAGUGAUGGGUUUACCUUCGUUUUCACUACUUGUUAUAAACUCAGAGAUGGCAUCUCUGCCUCGUCUCUUGAAUUCAGACAUGUAAUUGUCUGUGUCAUUGCCGGGUUUAAUUUCGUCGUCGUAGCUAUCCGAAAAAGGUAAAAACGAUAGGCCUUCAGCAGUGGGGGACUUUGGUCAUGCGACUGAUGACGGAGAUGCUGGUGAUGAAAGUUACACGUGCGUUGAUAGGUACAAGAUGCUUGGCGAAUUGUAAAGUCGGGUUUACGUGGCCUUGUGCAGGAUAGGUCACUACGAUGAAAUGAGGCUGUGACAUGAUGGUGACGGCGGCGAGUGUUGGCGCGUAAUUCGUGAAGGAAAUUAAUGGGUUUUUAUAGUGAAGAGAGGCAUUGAUAAAAGGUGAUGUUUGAGCUGACGAAUUUCAAAGAUUCCUAAACCUUGUUGGACUUAUCUGGUGUUUUUUCAAUGCUUAGGUUGCAGCUUGAUGCAUGAUGCUGUUAGAGAGAGUUUCAUACUACACGACUCUUUGGGGUUUGAAUUUAAUUCACCAAUUACAAUUUUAGUUAAACUAAACCCCAACACUAAACACGUAAGUUCAUAUUUGGUUAAACUACCUACCAAGUUAUCCAUCUAUGCCUAAACAUUUUUUUACUCACUCAAUUUUUUAAACUUUCAAAAUGGUCAUUCAAUUCAUUGGGUUCCAUUUUUUUAUCCAUUUCCAUUAAGCAUCGUUAAAUGCCUGGUAGGGUUAAUUUUUAAAAAUUAUGACUAAAUUGAUACAAUAUGUAAAAUUUGAGGAAAAAAUUUGUUAUUAUACUAAUAUUUAAAUAGUCACUUCAACUUUUUGUCAAACACUUAAUGGAAAUGGACCAAAAAAUAAAUCUGAUUAAUUAUGUGACCAUUUUGAAAGUUUUAAAAGUUGAGUGAAAAAAAAAACUUAAACAUAUUUAAUAGUAUUAAUGUGUCGAACAAUUAAAGUAUCCACUUGUCACAAUAUUAAACCCCACGUAUGAUUGUUUUCUUGAAUAUUGUGUAUAUUAUAUAUGAUAAAAGAUUGUAUAAAAUUAUCAUUCUACGUCAUCCCUAAGAAAAUGAUAAAUUAAAUUUUGUCUCUUACAAAAUUCAAAUUCAACUAAAAAACUAAUAUAGAAUCACAGUUUCAUAUAAACUUUUCUUUUAUAAUAUAUAGGUAUAAUAUAUAUAUUCCAUUUAGCAAUUGUUUUUAACUCUGGUCUUUUAAUUUGUCACAAACAAAAAUUUUGACUUCGAUAUUAAUACUAAAAUAAUAUUUGUCCUUGUAGCGGAAGAAUGUGUGUGACAACGUGAUAAAUAUUUUUCCAAACAAAAUCCAAAAGGAAUUAGGCAUCUUCAAAUUCGUCAGCCCAAACGUCACUGUUUUUCAGUGCCUCUCAUCACUUAUAAAAACACUUUGAUUUCCUUUCUUACUUACUCCAAAUCCGACGUUCGUACAAAAAGACCAGUAGAACUACCUACGUGCCGCCGUCACCACCAUGUCACAGCCUCAUUUCCUCCUAGUGACCUUCCCUGCACAAGGCCACAUAAACCCAACCUUACAAUUUGCCAAGCAUCUUAUACGUAUUGGCGUACGUGUAACUUUCAUCACCUGCAUCUCCGCUCGCCGCCGCAUGACCAAAGUCCCCACUGCUCAAGGCCUAACGUUUUUACCCUUUUCCGAUGGCUACGACGACGGUUUUCAACCCGGCGAUGACAUAGAACAUUACCUAUCUGAAUUGAGGAGACGAGGCAAAGAAGCCAUCUCCGAGUUUAUAACAAGCAGUGAAUACGAAGGCAAACCCGUCACUUGCAUUGUCUACACCCUGUUCAUCCAUUGGGCCUCGGAGGUGGCGCGUAAACAUCACAUCCCGACAGCUUUACUUUGGAUUCAACCCGCCACCGUUUUCGACAUCUAUUAUUUUUACUUCAACGGGUACGAAUCCACCAUUAAAGCUCCAGUUGAUGAAACAAACCCAAAGCGUUCAAUAAAAUUACCAGGUCUGCCGCUACUCGCCACCCGCGACCUUCCGUCGUUCGUCACCGCUUCAAACGUUUACCGUUGGGCACUGUCGUUGUUCCAAGAACAAAUGGAUAUCCUCGCUGAUGAAUCCAACCCCAAAAUCCUUGUUAACACCUUCGAUGCUUUGGAACAAGAAGCAUUAAAUGCCAUUGAAAAUUUCAACAUGGUCGGCAUCGGACCUUUAAUCCCAUCUUCUUUCUUGAACUCAAAUGACUCCUUGGAUAAUUCCUUGAGAACCGAUCUUUUUCAAUCCGAUUCAAAAGAUUACAUCCAAUGGUUAGACUCCAAACCAAAAUCGGCCGUCGUUUACGUUUCCUUCGGGAGCAUUGCGGUGUUAACCAAGCAACAAGUGGAGGAAAUCGCUCGAGCUUUAAUAGCCAGCCGGCGACCGUUUUUAUGGGUGGUGAGGAACUGGAAAGAUGGAGUCGAAGAAGAGAAAGAAGAAGAAAAACUGACUUGGAGGGAAGAAUUGGAACGGUUUGGGAUGGUGGUUCCAUGGUGUUCGCAAGUGGAAGUAUUGUCUCAUCCGUCGUUGGGUUGUUUCGUGACGCAUUGUGGGUGGAACUCGACGUUGGAGAGCAUGGUGGCCGGUGUACCGGUGGUGGCUUUCCCUCAAUGGACGGAUCAAGGGACUAAUGCGAAGCUGAUUGAAGAUGUGUGGGGGAAUGGGGUGAGAGUGAGUGCUAAUGAAGAAGGGAUGGUGGAACGUGAUGAGAUCGUUAGGUGCUUGGAUUUGGUGAUGGGGGAUGAUGAGAAAGGGAUGGAAGUGAAGAAAAAUGUAGAGAAAUGGGAAGGGUUAGCCAGGGAAGCCUCCAUGGAAGGCGGCUCCAUGGAUAUGAACCUUAAAGCUUUCGUGGAUGAUGUUGCUCAAGGUUGUUGGAAGUAAAUUUAUCAUUUUCAAAUCAAUUCACUGUUAUAAUAGCAGCUAUAAAUAUUGUGAUAGCAACAAUAUCAAUUCACUGUUGCAAAUAAAUUUUUAAUUUGUGUUUGUAUUAAAUGUAUGCUUUAAUUAAUUUUGGUGUAACGUUUAAGUUUUUUUAAAGAUUAAUAAUUAAAUUUGGGUAAAAUCAAAAAAUUUGGUUAACCGAUUGGAUUCGGUUAAUCGGUUGGUUAAUUAAAUUUUUUCGGUGAAGAGUCGAUUAAUUAUUUUCUCAUUUUCCGGUUAACGGCUAAUUCAGUUCGAAACCGGUCGGUUAACUGAAUUGUUUUGAUUUAAUCGAAAAAUUAAUAAAUAAAAUUAUAAUAUAUAAAUAGGCUCACUAUUCACCUAAGUCCAACCCAAACCCAAGUAUCCAACCUAACCCAAUCAAAUCAUAAAAAUUACAGAUAAUUUAUGUAUUAAUUUCAAGACUUAUGUAAUGUUUUUAAUUAUGUAGUGAUUCAAUUCGGUUAAUUCGGGUAAUUCGAGUAAUUCGGUUAAUUCGGGUAAUUUGGGUAAUUCGAUUAAUUUUUAACCAAAAAUAAAAAAUAUAUGAUUUUCGGUUAAUUUGGUUAACCGACUGAAUUAACCGAAAAGUUUUUGAUUCGGUUAGUUUUUAUUUUUUUAAAAUUCGAUUCAGUUAAUAGUUAAAAAUAUUGAAAGUUCAAUUAAUUCAAUUAAUAUUUUUUCGAGUCAGUGAACUGACUGAACACCCCUAGUAGCGGAGUAGGUAUUAUCAUACGAAUGAUAAGCCACCACACAAGUUUAUGCGGAUGUGGUUUUCUUGGUUUAAUUUUGCCACAAGUCCCUAUACUUUAUAAAAGUUAUGGAUUUAGUUCCGUUAUUUCAAUUUGAUCACUUUAGUCCUGCACUUUUCAAAAUGUUCAAUUUUAGUCCCUAUACUUUUAAACUUUUGAAAUUUUCAUCCUUAACCAAAAAAUAGUAGUUAAAUUUGUUUGUUUAAUUUCAAUUCCUAGAAAUGUACUAUACAUAUAAUUGUAGAUUUAAUAUAUAUUCUCCAACUGAAUCAUUUUAAGUCCCUAUUUUUUUCGAAUUCUAAAAUUUCCGUCUCAAUACAAAUGAUAGUCACCGAUCCAUUAACUAAAAUUUUAGUAAGUAAUAUGUGAAAAUAGCCAACUAAAAUGCUAGUACACACAUGAUGAUAUGUUUAUUGCAUCAAAUUUUAAAAAUAACAGAAUUUAAUGAAUUUAACAAUUAUUGUUUAGUGAUGACUUUUAAAAUUUAGAAAGUAUGAGCAUUAAAAGUGACCAAAUUAAUGUAUAAUUAAGAAUUAGAUCCACAACUUUUGUAAAGUAAGACUAAUAAUAAAAUUUAAUCUUGUUUUUUUCUUGAAAGAAAUUAAAAGUGACCAUUUAAGUAUUAUAUGUGCUAGGGAUGGGAGAUUAAUACGAAUCGUGGGAUGGAUUUUAAAUAGUUCGAAUUUUUUUUUUGUGUGUGUGGACAAUGAGUAAUUCUUUGCCCUAUAUAAAAGUAUCAUUUUAUCCAUUUAAUAUGUAUAACUAUUUAAAUGGUGAAAUACGAAAAUGCAUUAUAGAAAAGCCUUUAUGUUUAAUUUUUUUGAAACUGUUGUGGAAAACCUUAAAUGUGGUUAAUUGCCUUGCAAACCCUCCUUAUUUAUUAUUUUCUUUUUAUUCCCCUUCAACUCACUACAUUGUGUUUCAACAAGCUCUUAACCUAUUUUUGUAGUUAAAUAGGCCCUUAACUUAUGAUUUUUACUCAUAAAAUCUCUUUGUUUUAAUACUAAAGUAAAUAUGUUUUACUCAUAUUAAAGGGCUUUUUAGUAUUUUAGCCUAGACUGUAUGUUGUUGAACCUGGCACCUGCAUUGUAGAAAUUUUUUGAUUAUUUUCAAUGCUUAAGAACCAAUGAAAACAUAGAUGGAAGGCUAAUAUACUAAAAAGUGCUUAAACUAUUACACUUUGUUUAAGUAAGCUUUUGUACUAUUUUUGUCGUUAAAUAGGCCCUCAAACUAUGAUUUUUACCCAUGAAAGUCCUAAAUUUUAAUAUUAAAGUAAAACUAUUUAAAAAAUAUAUAAAUUAAUUCGCAUUUUAUGUUGAUGUGAAUUUGAUGAGAAGAGUUUAUUAAAUAAAAAAUUAAAAAUUAAAAAUUGUUGAGAGUGCUUAUAUGCAUGACAUGCUUAAUUACUAUUCUGAAAUUGCUGAUUACUUUUUUAGAUUUUAUGUUUAUGUUAAAGUGUAUAUAAUUUUUAUUGCAUCAACAAGAAAUUAAGAUAAGAGCUUGAAAUUCAAAAUAUAUUUACUUUAAUAUUAAAAUAAAAGGCUUUUAUGAGUAAAACUCAUAGGUUAAGAGUUUAUUUAACUACAAAAUUAAGUUAAGGGCUUGUUUAAACACAACCUAGUGAGUUGAAGGGGAAUAAAAAAUAAAAUAUAUAACGAGGGUUUACAAGGCAAUUAGCCACAUCUAAGCGGCACCCUUUCACUUCUUUUUCGUAGUCACUUAAAAUGGAAAAUUUGCAUUUUAAAUCCCUAAAUACUUUAAAUUAUUACAUUUCAGUCUGAUACAAAACAGUACAGUAACAAACAUGCCAUUUUGAUGUAUGUAUAUAUAUACUCGUUUUGCUAUUGUUUUUGACUUCGACUUUUAAUUGGUCACAAAAUUUUUGGAUAAUUUUUUUUAAAAUAAUUAUUUUAGUCCUUGCAGAGCAAGACAGCGGGAUGAAUGGUUUUCCACAAAAUCCAAAAGGAAUUAGGCAUCUUCAAAUUCGUCAGCGCAAACGUCACUGUUUUUCAGUGCCUCUCAUCACUUAUAAAAACACUUCGAUUUCCUUUCUUAGUUACUCCAAAUCCGACGUUCGUAAAAAAAGACCAGGUGAACUACCUACGAGCCGCCGUCACCACCAUGUCACAGCCUCAUUUCCUCCUAGUGACCUUCCCUGCACAAGGCCACAUAAACCCAACCUUACAAUUUGCCAAGCAUCUUAUACGUAUUGGCGUACGUGUAACUUUCGUCACCUGCAUCUCGGCUUGCCGCCGCAUGACCAAAGUCCCCACUGCUCAGGGCCUAACGUUUUUACCCUUUUCCGAUGGCUACGACGACGGUUUUCAACCCGGCGAUGACAUAGAACAUUACCUAUCUGAAUUGAGGCGACGAGGCAAAGAAGCCAUCUCCGAGUUUAUAACAAGCAGUGAAAACGACGGCAAAUCCGUCACUUGCAUUGUCAACACCCUGUUCAUCCAUUGGGCCUCGGAGGUGGCGCGUAAACAUCACAUCCCGACAGCUUUACUUUGGAUUCAACCCGCCACCGUUUUCGACAUCUAUUAUUUUUACUUCAACGGAUACGAAUCCACCAUUAAAGCUCCUGUUGAUGAAACAAACCCCAAGCGUUCAAUAAAAUUACCAGGCCUGCCGCUACUCGCCACUCGCGACCUUCCGUCGUUCGUCACCGCUUCAAACGUUUACCGUUGGGCACUGUCGUUGUUCCAAGAACAAAUGGAUGUCCUCGCUGAUGAAUCCAACCCCAAAAUCCUUGUUAACACAUUCGAUGCUUUGGAACACGAAGCAUUAAACGCCAUUGAAAAUUUCAACAUGGUAGGCAUCGGACCUUUAAUCCCAUCUUCUUUCUUGAACUCAAAUGACUCCUUGGAUAAUUCCUUGAGAACCGAUCUUUUUCAAUCCGAUUCAAAAGAUUACAUCCAAUGGUUAGACUCCAAACCAAAAUCGGCCGUCGUUUACGUUUCCUUCGGGAGCUAUGCUGUGUUAACGAAGCAACAAGUGGAGGAAAUCGCUCGAGCUUUAAUAUCCAGCCGGCGACCCUUUUUAUGGGUGGUGAGGAACCGGAAAAAUGGAGGCGAAGAAGAGAAAGAAGAAGAUAAACUGACUUGCAGGGAAGAAUUGGAACAGUUUGGGAUGGUGGUUCCAUGGUGUUCGCAAGUGGAAGUAUUGUUUCAUCCAUCGUUGGGUUGCUUCGUGACGCAUUGUGGGUGGAACUCGACGUUGGAGAGCAUGGCGGCCGGUGUACCGGUGGUGGCUUUCCCUCAAUGGACGGAUCAAAGGACUAAUGCGAAGCUGAUUGAAGAUGUGUGGGGGAAUGGGGUGAGAGUGAGUGCUAAUGAAGAAGGGAUGGUGGAACGUGAUGAGAUCGUUAGGUGCUUGGAUUUGGUGAUGGGGGAUGAUAAGAAAGGGAUGGAAGUGAAGAAAAAUGUAGAGAAAUGGAAACGGUUAGCCAGAGAAGCCGCCAUGGAAGGCGGCUCCUUGGAUAUGAAGCUUAAAGCUUUUGUGGAUGAUAUUGCUGAAGGAUAUCGUAAGUAAAAUUAUCACUUUCAAAUCAAUUCACUGUUUCAAUAGUAGUUAUUUAAACAGUUAUUAUCGUACCAUGAAACUUGAUUAGGUUUUGCCUUGUAGUAAACAUGCGAAGGACGACCCACCACACAAGUUUAUGCAGAUAUGGUUUUUUUUUUUUUUUUGUUUAAUUUUGCUACUAGUCUCUAUACUUUAUGAAAGUUAUGGAUUUAGUCUCAAUACUUUAAUUUGACCAUUUUUAGUCCUGCACUUUUCAAAAUGUUCAAUUUUAGUCCCUAUACUUUUAGUCUUUUGAAAUUUUAGUCCUGAACCAAAUAAUAGUAGUUAAAUUAUUUUGUUUAAAUUCAAUUACUAGUCAUGUCCUAUGUGUACAAUUAUAGAUUUAAUAAAUAUAUUUCCUAAUUGAAUCAUUUUAAGUCCCUAUUUUUUUCGAAUUCUAAAAUUUCCGUCUCGACACAAAUGAUAGUCACUAAUCCAUUAACUAAAAUUUCAGUAAGUAAUAUGUGAAAAUAUCAAACAGAAAUGCCAUUACACAUAUGAUAAUAUGUUUGUUGCAUCAAAUUUUGAAAAUAACAGAAUUUAAUGAAUUUAACAAUUAUCGUUUAGUGAAGGCUGAAAUUUUAAAAUUUAAAAAGUAAGAGAAUUAAAAAUGACCAAAUUAAAGUAUCAGUAUUAAAUCUGCAACUUUUGUUAAGUAAGACUAAUAAUAAAAUUUAACCUUAUUUUUUUCUUGAAAGAAAUUGAAAGUGACCAUUUAAGUAUAUAAUAUGUGAUUGGGAUUGGAGAAUAUGAAUGGUGUGAUAGAUUUUGAAUGUAGGAAACAAAAUUUUUUGAAAUGUGGUUGUAGGAUGGAGUGGGUUGGAUUUAUUUGUGUGUGGUCAAUGUAUAACUCUUUGCCUUUAUACUAUAUAAAAGUAUCAUUUUAUCCGUUUAAUAUGUAUAACUAUUUAAAUAUGUAGAAAUGUGAAAAUGUAUUAUAGAAAAGCCUUUAUGUUUAAUUUUUUUUAAAAUUUUAUGUUCUAAAGUCACUAAAUUAUUAGUAAAUUUAUGUUUUGAUUACUCAACUUCAAAAAGUUACAAAAUGGUCAUGAGUUAUUAGAAAAUUUUCAUUUCAGUUGUUCAACUAUUCAAAACUUUUUUUGUUUAAGUCAUUACGCUGUUAAGUUCUUUCUAAGUUCAAUUAAUGAGCUCCAACCGAUGAUUUAACAAUCGUAUGGUGGAUUAGUA